RNAcentral lists this ribosomal RNA (1445 nucleotides) under metagenome. RNAcentral describes it as "bacterial SSU rRNA". It matches the Rfam family "Bacterial small subunit ribosomal RNA". The record is from RNAcentral.
GUACAGUGGCGAAAGGGUGAGUAAUGCAUGGGUAACCUGCCCCCGGGACGGGGACAACCUCUCGAAAGGGAGGCUAAUACCCGAUUAUACCGGCCGACGCAUGUUGGCCGUGUCAAACGGAGGGGAUCCUUCGGGACCUUCCGCCCAGGGAGGGACUCAUGGCCUAUUAGCUUGUUGGUGGGGUAGCGGCUCACCAAUGCUGCGAUGGGUAGCCGGCCUUAGCGGGUGUCCGGCCACACUGGGACUGAGACACUGCCCAGACUCCUACGGGAGGCUGCAGUCGAGAAUCAUUGUCAAUGCGCGAGAGCGUGAACAUGCGACGCCGCGUGGGUGAUGAAGGCCCUCGGGUUGUAAAGCCCUGUCACAGGUUAUGAAUCGCGUGGGGGCGAAUAGGCCUCACGUCUGACAAAGGCCUGAGAGGAAGCUCCGGCUAACUCCGUGCCAGCAGCCGCGGUAAUACGGAGGGAGCGAGCGUUGUUCGGAAUUACUGGGCAUAAAGGGCGAGUAGGCGGCCAGAUAAGUCGGGUGUGAAAUCCCUCCGCUCACCGGAGGAACUGCGCCCGAUACUGUCUGGCUAGAGAUCAGGAGGGGAGAGCGGAAUUCCUGGUGGAGCGGUGAAAUGCUUAGAUAUCAGGAGGAACACCAGUGGCGAAGGCGGCUCUCUGGACUGCAUCUGACGCUGAGGCGCGAAAGCCAGGGGAGCGAACGGGAUUAGAUACCCCGGUAGUCCUGGCCGUAAACGAUGGGCACUUUGUAGGGGGGGGACCGAUCCUCUCCCUGCCGAAGCUAAUGUAUUAAGUGCCCCGCCUGGGGAGUACGGCCGCAAGGCUAAAACUCAAAGGAAUUGACGGGGGCUCGCACAAGCGGUGGAGCAUGUUGCCUAAUUCGAUUCAAAGCGAAGAACCUUACCGGGGUUUGACAUGCACGGAUUAGCCCCCUGAAAGGGGGGUGACGCCCGAAAGGGUGGAACGUGCACAGGUGCUGCAUGGCUGUCGUCAGUUCGUGUCGUGAGAUGUUGGGUUAAGUCCCGUAACGAACGAAACCCUUGUCCUUAGUUGCUAGCACUUCGGUGCGCACUCUAGGGAGACUGUCGCUGUAAGGCGGAGGAAGGUGGGGAUGACGUCAAGUCCUCAUGGCCCUUACGCCCCGGGCUGCAAACAUGCUACAAUGGCCGGUACAAAGGGAAGCAAGACCGCGAGGUGGAGCAAAUCUCAUAAAGCCGGCCCCAGUUCGGAUCGGAGGCUGAAACUCGCCUCCGUGAAGUCGGAAUCGCUAGUAAUCGCGGAUCAGCUACGCCGCGGUGAAUAUGUUCCCGAGCCUUGUACACACCGCCCGUCAAGCCACCCAAGCAGAGCGCACCCGAAAUCGCUGACCCAACCCGACAUUAGUUGGGAGGGAGGUGCUGAAGGUGAGUUUUGUGAGGAGGACUAAGUCGUAACAAGGUA